This 274-nucleotide ribosomal RNA is filed under the name uncultured bacterium. Its description in RNAcentral is "partial 16S ribosomal RNA". It matches the Rfam family "Bacterial small subunit ribosomal RNA", at positions 523 to 796 of the family's 1533-position model. The record is from RNAcentral.
AUACGGAGGGUGCAAGCGUUGUUCGGAAUUAUUGGGCGUAAAGAGCAUGUAGGCGGUCUAUUAAGUCUGGUGUGAAAGCCCGGGGCUCAACCCCGGAAGUGCAUUGGAUACUGGUAGUCUUGAGUAUGGGAGAGGAAAGUGGAAUUCCGAGUGUAGGAGUGAAAUCCGUAGAUAUUCGGAGGAACACCAGUGGCGAAGGCGGCUUUCUGGACCAAUACUGACGCUGAGAUGCGAAAGCGUGGGGAGCGAACAGGAUUAGAUACCCUAGUAGUCC